RNAcentral lists this ribosomal RNA (241 nucleotides) under uncultured Actinomycetales bacterium. RNAcentral describes it as "partial 16S ribosomal RNA". It matches the Rfam family "Bacterial small subunit ribosomal RNA", at positions 89 to 334 of the family's 1533-position model. Lineage: Bacteria; Bacillati; Actinomycetota; Actinomycetes; Actinomycetales. The record is from RNAcentral.
ACUCGAGUGGCGAACGGGUGAGUAACACGUGGGUGAUCUGCCCUGCACUUCGGGAUAAGCCUGGGAAACUGGGUCUAAUACCGGAUAGGACCACAUUUUGGAUGGUGUGGUGGAAAGUUUUUCGGUGUGGGAUGAGCUCGCGGCCUAUCAGCUUGUUGGUGGGGUAAUGGCCUACCAAGGCGUCGACGGGUAGCCGGCCUGAGAGGGUGUACGGCAACAUUGGGACUGAGAUACGGCCCAG